CUCAGUCUGAUAUAUUCAGAAUUGCAGAGCUUUAGGAAGAAAUUUUCAAUCUCAAACAAGGGACCCUUACUAUAAGUGAAUACUACACUCACCUCAAAAUUCUCUAGGAUGAACUCUCUAAUAUACGACUGAUUAAAUCCUGCACUUGUGGAUCCAAUGAGAAUGCCCAAACUCAUCGAGAGCAGGACUAUGUAAUCCGCUUCUUGAAAGGUCUCAAUGAGUAGUACGGUGGUGUUAAGUCACAAAUUAUGCUUUUAGAUCCACUUUUGUCCAUUAAUCGGGUUUUCUCUUUAGUUCUGCAAUAAGAAAGAGAGCUUCAUCCUUCUCUAUCGAUGCCUGUUGAUUCCAAAGUUCUGUUAGCUAAGGGACUACAGUGUCCUUCGACCAAGCCUUCUGGAGGAUCUGCCAAACAAUGUUCUUAUUGUGGAAGACCACGUCAUACGAAAGAGACAUGUUACAGGAAACAUGAUUUCCCUCCGGGCUUCAAAUUUUGAUCCAGCUCUCCUACUAUGGCGAAUAAUAUUUCAUCUCAAGAUUCUGGCACUAUUCAAGAUGCCAAUUCUGCUAAGCCUUCCCGCUACCUACUCUUAAUACGGCUUUUGUCUUGCCUCAUUUGUUCUCCGAGCAAUAUCAACGCCUUCUUGCUUUACUUGCUUCUCCUCAGACUACUUCCAUAAAUCAUCUCUCCACUUCCUCUCUCCCACCGACUACAACUUGAUCAGGCUUUCACUAUAAAAGACCCUGGUGAGCUCUGGUACUUCCUUGGCCUUGAGCUGGCACGUUCUAAGCAGGGCAUUUUCCUCUCCUAAACAAAAUUUGCUCUAGAACUUCUUCAAGAUACAGGCUAUUUGGCAUCCAAACCAGCUUCAACUCCAAUGGAUCCUCAUCUCAAGUUAUCCAAAGACAAGGGAGUACCACUAGAAAAUCCUCAAAUAUACCAGAAGCUAAUUGGGCAUUUGCAAUACCUCCCCACCACACAUCUCAACCUUAGCUUUGUCACUCAACAGCUCAGCCAGUACAUGUCCAACCCUAAAGAUCUUCAUCUUCAAGCUGCCUAUAGGGUUCUAUGAUAUAUAAAAGUUUCUCCUGGUGCUGGUUUAUUGCUUCCCUCAGAUUCUGAUUUAAAGUUGAAAGGUUCAGUGAUUCUAACUGGGCUAGCUAUAUAGAUUCCAGGAGAUCUGUGAUUGGUUUUGCUAUAUUCCUUGGUUCUUCUCUUAUCUCCUGGAAAGCUAAAAAGCAAGUGACAGUGUCUCACUCUUCUUCUGAGACAGAGUACCGUGCUCUAGCUUCCACUACAUGUGAGUUCUAGUGGUUAUUGUACCUUUUGAAUGACUUUCAUGUUUCACAUCUCGCUGCUACUCCUCUAUACUGUGACAAUCAAUCUACCCUCCAGAUUGCAGCUAAUCCUACAUUCCAUGAGAGAACCAAGCACAUUGAAUUUGAUUGUCAUCUAGUCAGAGAAAAAUUACAAGCCAAAGUCAUCCAUCUCCUCCCAAUCAAAUCUACUGAUCAAUUAGCCAAUGUUUUUACUAAGCCACUGCAUCCCACAUGCUUCCAUGAACUCAUUUCCAAGUUUGGCAUGAAAAAUAUCCAUGCUCAAGCUUGCGGGGGGUGUCAAGUGUAACAUAGAUAUUUUGUUAGAUAAUUUAUAUUGUUAAGAAGUAGUUACAGUUUGUUAUGUAAACACUCUCAGACCCACUAACUCACUUGUAUAUAUACACUUCUUCUGAUCAAUAAUAAAGUUAACUCAUUCUUUCCCAAUAUUAA
Neltuma alba is the source of this 1767-nucleotide long non-coding RNA. RefSeq lists it as uncharacterized. Lineage: Eukaryota; Viridiplantae; Streptophyta; Magnoliopsida; Fabales; Fabaceae. The transcript is spliced from 2 exons. The record is from RefSeq and is a predicted model, not a curated record.